GCGCUGUGAUGAUGUUUUCCCAGCCAUUCGUAGUUUCCACCAGAGGUCCUGAGGACCAAAGAUGGCUUGAACCUUCCUUGGAUGUCUGAGCGA
Girardinichthys multiradiatus is the source of this 93-nucleotide small nucleolar RNA. RefSeq annotates it as small nucleolar RNA SNORD14. The transcript has a single exon. NCBI's taxonomy places the organism in Eukaryota, Metazoa, Chordata, Actinopteri, Cyprinodontiformes, Goodeidae. The record is from RefSeq and is a predicted model, not a curated record.